This 700-nucleotide ribosomal RNA is filed under the name uncultured phototrophic eukaryote. RNAcentral describes it as "bacterial SSU rRNA". It matches the Rfam family "Bacterial small subunit ribosomal RNA", at positions 56 to 800 of the family's 1533-position model. The record is from RNAcentral.
UGCAGUCGUACGAGAGUUUGAACUCAAGUGGCGGACGGGUGAGUAACACGUAAGAAUUUGCCUUUAGGAGGGGGACAACAACUGGAAACGGUUGCUAAUACCCCAUAUGCUUUCGAGUGAAACGGUUUUUCCGCCUAAAGAGAAGCUUGCGGCUGAUUAGCUUGUUGGUAAGGUAAUGGCUUACCAAGGCGACGAUCAGUAUCUGGUUUGAGAGGACGAUCAGACACACUGGAACUGAGACACGGUCCAGACUCCUACGGGAGGCAGCAGUGGGGAAUUUUCCGCAAUGGGCGAAAGCCUGACGGAGCAAUACCGCGUGAGGGAUGACGGCCUAUGGGUUGUAAACCUCUUUUUUCAGGGAGGAAUCAAUGACGUGUACCUGAAGAAUAAGCAUCGGCUAACUCCGUGCCAGCAGCCGCGGUAAGACGGAGGAUGCAAGUGUUAUCCGGAAUCACUGGGCGUAAAGCGUCUGUAGGUGGUCAAAUAAGUCAACUGUUAAAUCUUGAGGCUCAACUUCAAAAUCGCAGUCGAAACUAUUAGACUAGAGUAUAGUAGGGGUAAAGGGAAUUUCCAGUGGAGCGGUGAAAUGCGUAGAGAUUGGAAAGAACACCGAUGGCGAAGGCACUUUACUGGGCUAUUACUAACACUCAGAGACGAAAGCUAGGGGAGCAAAUGGGAUUAGAUACCCUGGUAGUCCCCU